This 500-nucleotide ribosomal RNA is filed under the name uncultured bacterium. RNAcentral's name for it is "bacterial SSU rRNA". It matches the Rfam family "Bacterial small subunit ribosomal RNA", at positions 29 to 514 of the family's 1533-position model. The record is from RNAcentral.
AGUGAACGCUGGCGGCAUGCUUUACACAUGCAAGUCGAACGGCAGCGGGGGCUUCGGCCUGCCGGCGAGUGGCGAACGGGUGAGUAAUGCAUCGGAACGUGCCCAUGUCGUGGGGGAUAACGUAGCGAAAGCUACGCUAAUACCGCAUACGCCCCUGAGGGGGAAAGCGGGGGAUUCUUCGGAACCUCGCGCGAUUGGAGCGGCCGAUGUCGGAUUAGCUAGUAGGUGAGGUAAAGGCUCACCUAGGCGACGAUCCGUAGCGGGUCUGAGAGGAUGAUCCGCCACACUGGGACUGAGACACGGCCCAGACUCCUACGGGAGGCAGCAGUGGGGAAUUUUGGGACAAUGGGCGCAAGCCUGAUCCAGCCAUGCCGCGUGAGUGAAGAAGGCCUUCGGGUUGUAAAGCUCUUCGGUCCGGGAAGAAAACGUGGUCUCUAACAUAGGCCAUAGGUAGACGGUACCGGACUAAGAAGACGACCGGCUAACUACGUAGCCAGCAC